AUUUUACGAUCGGUGAAAUAUAUAGUUAUUUCUUUCUUCAGGUGCUUCAUCUUGAUAUUGGCUCUGUUUUACUGUCUAGAAUAUUCACGUACACCAAAAACAAAUCUGUAUAUUCUAUGGUUUUUGUUUCUUAUUGUUUUAUUUCUCCUUUCCACACAGAACCCAUUGCUAUCAGGGCACUUCUAUUGAUUCGCAUGGAAUCAAUAUGGCUGUUUGGUGACCAGAACAUAGCAUGGGACCAGUCCUUGAAGAAGCUGAGACUUCAGUCAGGCUCUCAAAUGAUGAGAAGAAAGCAUCUGGUUGUGGUUCUAAAGCCUGGGAUCCUAGCAAGAUGAACAGGUGGUGAUUAGACUGUUUGCUCAUCUGGGAGUGUUGGAAGGAAGGAGCCCAGUGCAAGACGACAGAGACCAUGCCAAGCGAGGAGGGCAUUCCUGAGUGAGUGGGGUGUUGGAGCCCAAGUAGGGUGAGGCCAGCAGGCUGGUGAAGCCCAGCAGAUUGAGAAGGGCACCCACACGGGGCAGGGCAUGCCUGUUGUGGGGUAUCGGAAACUGGACUGCGGUAAGGAGGGUUCUGACGUGGUAGACGCUCUGACACAGGGUCAGACCCAAGCAGAGUGAGAAGGACAUUUACAAAGGAGCAAAGGUGGCCAUUGCAAUGGACAGCUGGGUACCUGCAAGGAUCCAAUAUGUAAAUCUAUGAAAGAUAACAGGAGCCAGGUUUCUCAGUAUUGGAUAAGGGGAUUGCAAAUAUGGAAAGGCAGAACACUAGAAUAAACCUUACAAUAUUGGAAUUGGAAACAGAAGUAUUUCUGUAAACUCAUGGUUUUUCCAUAUGCAUAGAUAAAUUUAGAAUUAAAGAUACAUGUAAAUGUGUGUACAUGUAUGUACAUAUAUAUAUACGUAUAUUCCCGAACUCU
Molecule: long non-coding RNA, 916 nt
Organism: Aethalodelphis obliquidens (Pacific white-sided dolphin)
Lineage: Eukaryota; Metazoa; Chordata; Mammalia; Artiodactyla; Delphinidae
Exons: 2
Source: RefSeq, a predicted model, not a curated record